CCUGUGGGCCUAAAAAGACCAAAACAAACAAACAAAAAAAAAAAAAACCCAGAUCAUCUGACUCCAUCCCACGCUUUUAACUACUUAACUUUACUGCCUCUCUACCUACUUAUCUAAAAAAAUUAAAGAUGAAGCCAAAGACAUAACUAGAAUUCAUCAGAUGUAUUACACAUUUAUUAUACAUUCAUCAGAUUUAUUAUGCAUUAAAUUGUAUGUUAAAAUGAUAAAAAUACUUCAGCUAAUGAAAAUCAGUGUUUAUAUAUCUAUAUGUAUGUACACAUGUAUGUAUUUUCAGAAUAUGGAAAGCUGCCAAUAAUAGGUUUCAAAAACAUAGGCUGCAUAAAUGAACAGACGCUAUGAACUUGUUUUAUAAGGAUUAAAAUAAAACUAAUGAUACAUACAGAUCAUACAAAUGCACACUAAAAUAUCCAGAAAUACAUCUUUUUUUUCUCUUUUGUGGCAUAUGGAAGUUCCCAGGCCAGGCAGGGAUCAAACCCACACCACAGCAGUAACCAGAGCCACAGCAGUGACCAGAACCACAGCAGCAACAAUGCCAGAUCUUUAACCUGCUGAGUCACAAGAGAACACCUCUAGAAAUAUAUCUUAAAAUACCAGCAGUGGAGUUCCUGUCAUGGUACAGCAGAAACAAAUACGACUAGGAACCAUGAGGUUGCAGGUUAGACCCCUGGCCUCACUCAGUGGGUUAAGGAUCCAGUGUUGCCGUGAGCUGUGGUGUAGGUCACAGACACUGUUCCAAUCUGGUGUUGCUGUGGCUGUGGCGUAGGCCAGCAGCAACAACUUCGAUUAGAACCCUAGCCUGGGGAACCUCGACAUGCCACAGGUGCAGCCCUAAAAAAGACAAAAAAAUAUCAGCACAACAGCAAAGUUAAGGAAAACAAUCUUGAUUCCUUAGGAGAAUGGCAAGUAGUUCACUACAGUUGAGGCUUUCUACUCACAUUAUUUCCUUAAGUCUUUUCAAAAAUUUCUUCAGUAGUGUCAAACAUCAUGAUCCACAAGUACAAAUAACUCCUCGGAGUUCCGAAUCCGACUAGGAACCAUGAGGUUGCGGGUUCGAUCCCUGCCCUUGCUCAGUGGGUUAACAAUCCGGCGUUGCCGUGAGCUGUGGUGUAGGUUGCAGACGCGGCUCGGAUCCCGCGUUGCUGUGGCUCUGGCGUAGGCCGGUGGCUACAGCUCCGAUUCAACCCCUAGCCUGGGAACCUCCAUAUGCUGCGGGAGCGGCCCAAGAAAUAGCAACAAUAACAACAACAACAACAACAAAAGACAAAAAAAAAGACAAAAAAAAAAACAAAAAAAAACAAAUAACUCCUGGCAAACAUGGUGAUUUCACUAUACUAUUUCUUUUAAACUAUCCAUUAAAAAUAAACAAUCCCUAGUAAGUCUCUAUGUAAAUGCACAAAGAUCUAUGUAAAUGCACAAAGAAGAAAAAGCCAGUUACACUCUUUUGUGUUUUGUCUUGUUUUGUUCCUUUUUGGCCAUACCCACAGCAAUGCACAAGUACCUGUGCAACAGCAGUAACCAGAACCACACUGGGGAUGACUCUGGAUCCUUAAUCUGCUGAACAACUGGGGAACUCCUGUUUUGUUUUCUUUUGGUUAACUACUUUGGUAACUAAUUAUUCUGAUUAAUAUUAGUAGAAAAAAGUCCCAUUGUACUAGAGAAGAAAAAGAAAGCAAUAGGACAGCUUUCAGAAACCAUUACUUCAACUGUAAAAAUUGAAUCAGUCUAGAUGUUUUUGGACUUAAACUAUUGUUUUUUAAAAACUGCUUCAACUAACAUUCAUGCUUACUGAGUAAUAAAAAUGGUAUCAUUAUUUGUUCAGAUUAAAAUCAAACAGGAAAUAUUACAAAGCAUCAAUUAAAAAUAAAUAUGAACACACAGUUCUACAGAACUUAUUUUUCUUUCAAGAGUAACAAAAAAAUGAUGCUUAUUUAGCUGUGCUUUGAUUUGUACAUGAAUGUUAUGGCCAUAUUUUUAAGUAACAUCAAAGUUUUGUAAAUGCUGGAACCAUAGAAAACAGGUACAAACACAAAGAUGUCCUCCUCCCACACCUCUGUUUGUGAUUAUCUCCUUUUCUUGUGCUAAAUUCACCAGCUGGUGCUAAAUUCACCAGUUGGUGCUAUAGGCCAAUGAGUAAGAUAUUCCAUUUAAGAGUAUCUCCUGAAGCACAGUGCUUGUAUAAUCAUCCUGAAGAGAUGGCUCCCUGGGACAGAAACCAGAACCAGGGAAUUCCCGAUGUGGCUCAGCAGAAACGAAUCUGAUUAGUAUUCAUGAGGACACAGGUUCAAUCUCUGGCCUUGCCCAGCGGGUUAAGGACCUGGUGUUGCCGUGAGCUGUGUGGUGUGGGUUGCAGACAUGGCUCUGAUCUGGCGUUGCUGUGGCUGUGGCUUAGGCCAGUGGCUAUAGCUCUGAUUCUGCCCCUAGCUUGGGAACCUCUAUAUGCCAAUGGGUGUGGCCCUGAAAAAAAAAAAGAAAACCAGAACCAGGAGAGGCCUGCACUUAAGGAGCUUUUUUUUUUUUUUUUUUUUGUCUAAUCUGUAGCAUAUGUAAGUUCCCAGGUCAGGAAUCAAAUCUGAGCUGCAGUUCCAACCUAUGCCAAAGCUGUGGCAAAGCCAGAUUCUUAGCCCACUGUACCACAGUGGGAACUCCCAAGGGGACAUUUUAAAAAGAAAGAUGACCUUCAUCACAGGAAAACAGGCCAGAAACUCAUGAGGACAGCAUCCCUUUAGGAGACCACAGAACAAAAAGAACUAAAUACACCUUGUAAACCAGACUUAAAAGUUACUCUCUGGCCUCAUUACCCCUUUGUUUUGUUUAGAAAAGCAUUUUUUUUCAAUAUUCCAGCCUUGUUUCAGCUGUGUCUCAGCAAAUAAAGGGGAAAUGAUUAGGUAGCAAGGGAAUUAUCUGGGCCAGAAUGUUUAAAAAAAAAAAAAA
RNAcentral lists this long non-coding RNA (2952 nucleotides) under Sus scrofa (pig). Its description in RNAcentral is "lncRNA (ENSSSCG00005040356.1)". The record is from RNAcentral. Lineage: Eukaryota; Metazoa; Chordata; Mammalia; Artiodactyla; Suidae.